RNAcentral lists this ribosomal RNA (450 nucleotides) under uncultured Selenomonas sp. RNAcentral's name for it is "bacterial SSU rRNA". It matches the Rfam family "Bacterial small subunit ribosomal RNA", at positions 353 to 794 of the family's 1533-position model. Lineage: Bacteria; Bacillati; Bacillota; Negativicutes; Selenomonadales; Selenomonadaceae. The record is from RNAcentral.
UGGGGGAAGUCUUCCGCAAUGGGCGAAAGCCUGACGGAGCAACGCCGCGUGAGUGAAGAAGGUCUUCGGAUCGUAAAGCUCUGUUGAGAGGGACGAGAGAUUACUUCAGGAAAUGGGAGUAAGAGGACGGUACCUUUCGAGGAAGCCACGGCUAACUACGUGCCAGCAGCCGCGGUAAUACGUAGGUGGCGAGCGUUGUCCGGAAUUAUUGGGCGUAAAGGGAGCGCAGGUGGGACUUCAAGUCAGUCUUAAAAGUGCGGGGCGUCAACCCCGUGAUGGGAGUUGAAACUGUAGUUCUUGAGUACUGGAGAGGUUGACGGAAUUCCUAGUGUAGCGGUGAAAUGCGUAGAUAUUAGGAGGAACACCAGUGGCGAAGGCGGUCAACUGGACAGCAACUGACGCUGAGGCGCGAAAGCGUGGGGAGCAAACAGGAUUAGAUACCCUGGUAGU